RNAcentral lists this unclassified non-coding RNA (217 nucleotides) under Hevea brasiliensis (rubber tree). Lineage: Eukaryota; Viridiplantae; Streptophyta; Magnoliopsida; Malpighiales; Euphorbiaceae. The record is from RNAcentral.
AUUUAACAAAUGACAACCCUAUUGGUUGUGAACAAAUUGCUGCAUGUGGAGGACUUGAAACUAUGUCUUCUUUGAUUGCUGGUCACUUCCCUUCAUUCAGCUCAUCUUUACCUUCCUUCAGUGAGAUGAAAGAGUAUUCCACAAGUGUUGAACUUGAAAAGCAGAAUGAUAAUCAUCUUACUGAUCAAGAGUUGGAUUUCCUUGUUGCUAUAUUGGG